Long non-coding RNA from Mobula hypostoma (lesser devil ray), 1467 nucleotides. RefSeq lists it as uncharacterized. The transcript has 3 exons. Lineage: Eukaryota; Metazoa; Chordata; Chondrichthyes; Myliobatiformes; Myliobatidae. The record is from RefSeq and is a predicted model, not a curated record.
CUUCAGUGCAACUCCGUAGCAGAUGGAACAUGAGACGCAGAGCCAGAAAUGGCUGGUGCAUCUUCCCAGCUUUCUUUCUUGGGAGCUCAUUAGAUUUCUGCUGAGAUGCUGCCUGGCUGGCUGAGUUCCUCCAGCACUUCGUGCACGUUGCUCGGAUUUCCAACAUCUGCAGUCCUAGAAUCAUAUAGCAGGAAACAGGCUCUUCAGUUCACGAGUCCACUGUGACCCAGCAGUUCUGUAAAGAACCACCAGUCGGUGACACUACAUGAAUCUGUGAGUGCUGGGUGUGAUCGUAUACACUGCAGUGCACAGCUACAGGACCUACCCACGGGAAAUGCAACUGCAUCUGACCCCUCGCUCUGCCCCUGCCAACCAGGGUGGUCUGGUUUGCCCUGAGCUGAGAGCUGGAUAACAGUCAACAUGAAUAAAAUGGGUUUCGAUUGGGUUGCCAAGUUCUAUUAAAAUUGUUGGUUUAGUUCCACGCAUAUACUGUAUUUGACCAUGUAUGUGUGUUUAGAAUUGAGUAACAGUAGUUCUUUUUUUAUAUAUUUAUCAUUAUAAUGUUUUUAAAUAAUUUGAGCUUUAAAUCAUAUUCGAUUCACUUCUAAUGCUUACCUGUGACACUCAAGAGGUGAAAGAGGCUUCAGUCAUUAUGAGUUGUUGGAGAUUUGCAGGGAUCAAUAGGUUCAGUAGGUACAUUUAAUGUCGGAGAAAUGUAUACAAUAUACAUCCUGAAAUUCUUUUUCUUUGCAAACAUCCACAAAAACAGAGGAGUACCCCAAAGAGUGAAUGACAGUUAAACGUGUGACGAGAAUACACAUAAAUUAAGAUGUUAGCUGGCCUGGGCUGGCACCAGUGGGAUCAGCAGUUGGUCUGCCACCUGUCUUCAGGAGAGAGAGAGAUAAGGAAAACAAUGAAGCAGCAUUUGGAGAUGUUAAUGAAGGGGAAGGAGAGCUGUCAAGAUCGGCUCCCCCUUUGAACCCUGAACUGUUUGAAGUGAUGGACAGGCAAUACCUCAGCAGGGGGAUAAAAAGGGACAGGUUCGCUCAGGCAGGACACACACGACACCCCGAGGUAACGAGACUCUGGAAGCAGCGCGUCUCUCACAAGUCGGUGGGAAGUUUUGGACGGCUGGUCACGGGACAAGCCAUAGAUGCACAGGGUGGAAAGGCACGAUCGGCGGGAACCUGGUGUGUGUCCACCCUUGCCUGGGUGCCAGGUUCACUGCAGAGAAACGAUCGUAUCAGGAAACGGAGGGGUCACGAUCGGUGACCUCAGAUGACAUCACAAAGGACUCGCCCGAAAUCUGACUGCGAAGGUCUGUGUGGAAGCCAUUAUGAAUAUUCAUUCGUUUUGCUCUCUCUCUCCUUCCCCCCCACUGUCCAUCGCCACGGCAGCGAUUACUGCGAACUGAACUGAACUAAAUUGAACUGAACUUUGCGUCACUUUGAAACUGGUCAUUUACCC